This 316-nucleotide long non-coding RNA is filed under the name Dromaius novaehollandiae (emu). RNAcentral's name for it is "lncRNA (ENSDNVG00000013689.1)". The record is from RNAcentral. Lineage: Eukaryota; Metazoa; Chordata; Aves; Casuariiformes; Dromaiidae.
UUGUUCUGCUGCAAACUUUAAACAAUAGGAAAUGUCGCUUUUUUGUUUUUCAUAAUGCAGAGCACCAUCUGGAUUAGCAUGAAAUGCAUCUGAAAAAUUGCAUGGAGCCGGACAUAAUUCCCAAUAAGAACAGAUACAUCAAAUUGAAGCAGGAAAUGACGGCAUCGAUGGAGAACCUGAGGUUGCUCAGCCCAACCCGAAGGCAAGGAUUGUUAUUGACAAGUCUGUGUGCUUACAGUCUCCRGAAGAGUUGGGAGUGGCAAAACAGGUUUAGUUUUGAAAGAACAAGUCACAUCCUUUUGGCAGGACAAGGUAA